RNAcentral lists this non-coding RNA (29 nucleotides) under Mus musculus (house mouse). The record is from RNAcentral. Lineage: Eukaryota; Metazoa; Chordata; Mammalia; Rodentia; Muridae.
UGCCAAAAGCCUGGGUACGUGGUAGUUCC